ACGUGCCAGCAGCCGCGGUAACACGUAGGAGGCGAGCGUUAUCCGGAUUUAUUGGGCGUAAAGCGCAUGCAGGUGGCUAGGUAAGUCGGGUGUGAAAGCCCCGGACUUAAUCCGGGGAGGUCAUUCGAUACUGCUUGGCUUGAGAGCGGGAGAGGGAAGUGGAAUUCUCGGUGUAGUGGUGAUAUGCGUAGAUAUCGAGAGGAACACCAGUGGCGAAGGCGGCUUCCUGGCCCGUAUCUGACACUAAGAUGCGAAAGCGUGGGUAGCAAACGGACUUAGAUACUCCGGUAGUCCACGCUGUAAACGAUGGGUACUAGGUGUAGGGGGUGUAAAACUCUCUGUGCCAUAGUUAACGCACUAAGUACCCCGCCUGGGGACUACGGUCGCAAGGCUAAAACUCAAAGGAAUUGACGGGGGCCCGCACAAGCAGCGGAGCGUGUGGUUCAAUUCGAAGAUACACGAAGAACCUUACCUGGGCUUGACAUGUUGGUAGUAGUGAAGCGAAAGCGGAACGAUCCUUCGGGAAGCCAUCACAGGUGCUGCAUGGCUGUCGUCAGCUCGUGCCGUGAGGUGUUGGGUUAAGUCCUGUAACGAGCGCAACCCUCGCUGCCAGUUACAAGUGUCUGGCGGGACUGCCGGUGACAAACCGGAGGAAGGUGGGGAUGACGUCAAGUCAGCAUGGCCUUUAUGUCCAGGGCUACACACACGCUACAAUGGCCGGUACAAUAGGUUGCCAAGUCGUGAGGCGGAGCUAAUCCUCAAAAUCGGUCUCAGUUCGAAUUGCAGGCUGCAACCCGCCUGCAUGAAGUUGGAG
This 814-nucleotide ribosomal RNA is filed under the name uncultured organism. RNAcentral describes it as "bacterial SSU rRNA". It matches the Rfam family "Bacterial small subunit ribosomal RNA", at positions 503 to 1331 of the family's 1533-position model. The record is from RNAcentral.